UACGUAGGGUGCGAGCGUUGUCCGGAUUUACUGGGCGUAAAGAGCUCGUAGGCGGUUUGUCGCGUCUGCCGUGAAAGUCCGGGGCUCAACUCCGGAUCUGCGGUGGGUACGGGCAGACUAGAGUGAUGUAGGGGAGACUGGAAUUCCUGGUGUAGCGGUGAAAUGCGCAGAUAUCUGGAGGAACACCGGUGGCGAAGGCGGCAUCCUGGACCAAUUCUGACACUGAGGAGCGAAAGCCAGGGGAGCAAACGGG
RNAcentral lists this ribosomal RNA (253 nucleotides) under uncultured bacterium. RNAcentral's name for it is "partial 16S ribosomal RNA". It matches the Rfam family "Bacterial small subunit ribosomal RNA", at positions 524 to 776 of the family's 1533-position model. The record is from RNAcentral.